UGUUAUGUCAUCUGCUUUUGUGCUGUACUAUGUGUUUGUGUGAUAUCUCGUGACUUGAGCCGGGGGUCUUUCGGAAACAGCCUUUCUACUUCAUCAGAGGUAGAGGUAUGGACUGCGUACAUCUUACCCCCCCAGACCCCACUAAGUGGGAAUACACUGGGUUUGUUGUUGUUGUAUGUUAUGAUAGUUGUUGGUUGUAUAGAGAGAGUUUCAAGACCCUUAUCAUGUUCAGAAUGUUAGUUGCAAGUAGAUUGCCUGUGUAAAGCUUGUUUGUAGAACAAGUAGAAACGAGUGAGGGAAGAAAAAACCAAUUUAUGUAAUGGACUUCUGUUGGAUCAUCAUGCAGUUUGUCCAGGUUCCUGUGCCCUCAAUCUUGAUUAGAAGGAAAUCAUUCUUUUUAAGUGCUCUUUUUUCUUUUGUUGGUUUGUUCUAUUUGUUUUCUUUUAAAAAAGGACAACCCUGUGCACUAAAGCUCUUGUUAGGUUUGUUCUAUCUUUUGAUUUGUUAAAAUAUUUAUGGAGCUCAGUCAUACAUUUCAUCUCUGCUUGCAUUUGUGGGUCUAUCUAUUAUCAAUGACACGUGAAAGUAAUUUUUUGCUCUUUAGUUUGCUUUGGUCAAAGAGGUUUGCUGUGAUAUUUCUCUGGAUAUCAUAUGUCAACUUUCUUGAUGAACUUCUCUAUCAGACCUCACCGACUGAAACAAAAGCUCAGAAGUUUUAGACAUUCUGAGCUUAUCAAACACAAAAAAAAGGAAAAAAAGUGGUAAAGACAUUGUGAGCAUAGUUAAUGUUUCUCAGAAUAGGCAAAAUGGAAGAGGAUAUAUUAGACACGAUUGAGAUGGUUCGGACACGUGAAGAGGAGGGGCAUGGAUGCCCCGGUCCGUAGGUGUGAGAGGCUAGCGUUGGAUGGUUUUAGACGGGGAAGGGGUAGACCGAAGAAGGACUGGGGUGAGGUGAUUAGGCGGGACAUGGAACAGUUACAGCUUACCGAGGACAUGACCCUAGAUAGGAAGGUCUGGAAGACGCGAAUUACGGCAGAGGAUUAGGGCCAGUUCGGGUCGCUAGUGUAGGGAUUUAAUUGGUGGGGGUGUAUUCCGGUUAUGAUUCCGUAUUCAGUGUUUCGUGUUCCGUGUUUCAUGUUUAUUACGAAUCUGUGUGCUUUCCUCUGCUUUAUAUUCCUGCAAUCCUGCUUUACUCUGUUUUAUAUUCCCUAUGGGUGCCGUAUCUAUGUUAUGUCAUCUGCUUUUGUGCUGUACUAUGUGUUUGUGUGAUAUCUCGUGACUUGAGCCGGGGGUCUUUCGGAAACAGCCUUUCUACUUCAUCAGAGGUAGAGGUAUGGACUGCGUACAUCUUACCCCCCCCAGACCCCACCAAGUGGGAAUACACUGGGUUUGUUGUUGUUGUAUAAUUUCUAAAUAAAAAAACCAGAAUUUUUACUCAUAAAUCAUAGACAGCAAGUCCACUGUUUUUUAACUCUUUGUGAAAACUGGAAAAAAAUCGAGGAAGAAGUAGAAGAAGAAACACAGAGGAGAAAAUCAGUGGAAGAAAGUAGAAAAAAAAUCA
RNAcentral lists this long non-coding RNA (1561 nucleotides) under Capsicum annuum. RNAcentral describes it as "long non-coding RNA (CANN_LNC012670)". Lineage: Eukaryota; Viridiplantae; Streptophyta; Magnoliopsida; Solanales; Solanaceae. The record is from RNAcentral.